CCUACGGGAGGCAGCAGUGGGGAAUUUUCCGCAAUGGGCGAAAGCCUGACGGAGCAAGACCGCGUGGGGGAAGAAGGCUCUUGGGUUGUAAACCCCUUUUCUCUGGGAAGAACAAAAUGACGGUACCAGAGGAAUCAGCAUCGGCUAACUCCGUGCCAGCAGCCGCGGUAAGACGGAGGAUGCAAGCGUUAUCCGGAAUGAUUGGGCGUAAAGCGUCCGCAGGUGGCAGUUCAAGUCUGCUGUCAAAGACCGGGGCUUAACCUCGGAAAGGCAGUGGAAACUGAACAGCUAGAGUAUGGUAGGGGCAAAGGGAAUUCCUGGUGUAGCGGUGAAAUGCGUAGAGAUCAGGAAGAACAUCGGUGGCGAAGGCGCUUUGCUGGACCAUAACUGACACUCAGGGACGAAAGCUAGGGGAGCGAAUGGGAUUAGAUACCCCAGUAGUCCUAGCCGUAAACGAUGGAUACUAGGUGUUGUCUGUAUCGACCCGGACAGUGCCGUAGCUAACGCGUUAAGUAUCCCGCCUGGGGAGUACGCNCGCAGUGAGAACUCAAAUGAAUUGUAACGGUCGUGUUAGACGUGCCGACGGACGACGACGAGGGAGGAGG
Molecule: ribosomal RNA, 605 nt
Filed under: uncultured bacterium
Lineage: Bacteria
Description: bacterial SSU rRNA
Rfam family: Bacterial small subunit ribosomal RNA
Source: RNAcentral